RNAcentral lists this ribosomal RNA (484 nucleotides) under uncultured bacterium. Its description in RNAcentral is "partial 16S ribosomal RNA". It matches the Rfam family "Bacterial small subunit ribosomal RNA", at positions 30 to 507 of the family's 1533-position model. The record is from RNAcentral.
AUUGAACGCUGGCGGAAUGCUUUACACAUGCAAGUCGAGCGGCAGCGCGGCCUUCGGGCUGGCGGCGAGCGGCGAACGGGUGAGUAAUGCAUCGGAACAUGCCCAGUCAUGGGGGAUAACACUUCGAAAGAAGUGCUAAUACCGCAUACGUCCUGAGGGGGAAAGCGGGGGAUCGCAAGACCUCGCGCGAUUGGAGUGGCCGAUGUCAGAUUAGCUAGUUGGUGGGGUAAAGGCCUACCAAGGCGACGAUCUGUAGCUGGUCUGAGAGGAUGAUCAGCCACACUGGGACUGAGACACGGCCCAGACUCCUACGGGAGGCAGCAGUGGGGAAUUUUGGACAAUGGGGGCAACCCUGAUCCAGCCAUUCCGCGUGAGUGAAGAAGGCCUUCGGGUUGUAAAGCUCUUUCGGCAGGAACGAAACGGUGGGCUCUAACAUAGUCCGCUAAUGACGGUACCUGAAGAAGAAGCACCGGCUAACUACGUG